Molecule: ribosomal RNA, 2735 nt
Filed under: Triticum aestivum (bread wheat)
Lineage: Eukaryota; Viridiplantae; Streptophyta; Magnoliopsida; Poales; Poaceae
Description: partial small subunit ribosomal RNA
Source: RNAcentral
CCAGAAGGACAUUGUCAACAUUGAGUUUACUUUGGUUUGUCAACAUUGAGAAGUCGUCGAGGGUUUGGAAAAAGGCUAGAAGGACAUUCUUCUUGUCUCGGUACCUGAGGUGCCUAGUCAAACUGUUGUCGGGAGACGAUCUGCCUCUGCCGAGUAGUGUUCUCUUAUGUUGUCUUAUAUGUCCACUACCCAGACAAACGUAGUCACCCGUAGGACGAAGGUCUUUUGUAUGUCCCUUAACCUUCCGGAGGAAGAAUUAGUAUCAGACAAGUAAGACAACAAUAGAACGCAUAAGAAGGUAACCUUUUUUGGAUCAGUCAAUAGAGUGUUUUCAGGAUGUACUUUGUUUAAACCUACGACGUUCUGUACAACGUUGAACCGUUCCAUGAUCGAUAGAGCGCGGAGACCAACCUCGGAAGCAACGGCUAAGUAUAGACCCCUUCAUGGCCUGUCGAAACUAGCGGACGUUCUAAAAGUAAUAACCUUACUACUACAACGAAGAUAGUCGUCGUGAAGUUAAUUAGAGUCGGCCAGGAGUGCGAACCUGACAAACCCAUGUAGAUCAGAGAAGAGUCAUGUGGUAUAAGAACUAACCAAACAUGUACCACCCAAAUCCCAUACCACGUGUCGCGGGAACGCAGUGCAGAAAACCUCGGCUAGUUAAGCUACUGUGGCUAAUACACCUCUUUUGGUCUUUCUCGAGGAAGAAGUUAACCGUGAUAAAGCGUUAGUUACGACCAAGUAACUAACGACCCUGACAAUAACAGACCCAAGUUCUUGUACUUCCGACCGAGACCCCAAAAUGUUAAAGAUGUAACAAACACUGAAAUCCACAUACAUAAAAAAAGAACCCGAGGUAGCACAUAUCUAAAGUCUUCGGAUCUCCUUCGGGAGACUGUUCUGAUACGGUCCAACAGUAACGUCGAUGAGCCUUGAAACUAUUCCAAAACGGUACACUAAGGAGUCGAGAAAUACUCAAAUACCCCGUUCCGAGCCGUUAGCUUCCGUCUGCCUUUAACCUCGUAUGUUGACCUGAGCUCAAGAAACUAUUUCGACGUUAACACUGUAAUGGACUGACACUUAGAGGACCGGUUGUAUUAUUUACCUUCUAAACGUGACAGUGAGUCCAACUCCUCAAUUUCUAAGACUAGUCCUACAAAGGUUAAACCAGCCGUUACUAAAACAAACGACGUCAAGUCCUUGUUUACAGGAGUUGUAAACAUCUCGUUCCCUACCGUUACCUAUUUGUGUAGCCCAGAAAGCUUUAUGGAAGACGUAGGAAGGUCACACAUCUAUGUUAAUGACAGUAACAUGACCAAGGUUAAAUACUCUCUGAGUAACAAGGUCAUUAAUCUUUUAAAUGACCGUCUCGCUUACCGUAAUGUAGUGGUGUCGCUUAUCCCUAACCAAAUACAAAGAGCUACAAGAGUUACCACAGUCGUCGUAACCACCUCCCAUUGGCCGAUGUCUAACGUGUCCGGCUUCCAAACCACGUGGCGUUCCACCGACAAGGCUACUCGUAGUACACCGUUCCUGGGGUCAUGAAGGACGAUCCGCAGCGGCUCCACAAGAGGUUAUAACCCGAUUGACUCCGAAAGAUACUACUUAGAGGUCUACCGUACGCUUCGAAUACAUACCGUAAGAGCGAACAAUUGUACAGCCGACCUUUAAUGGAAUCAAGUAAAUAGGAAAGGGAACACGGUCAUAAGUGUCGGUCUCCUCCGUCGGGUCCCACCUAUGGACUAUUGAACUUACUUCCCGUAAACCUAUCUAAGAUGGACUACUACCGACCCGACUCAAAAAAAUUAUAUCAUCAGAAACAUAAGACACGAUACUCCAUGUUUACAUUCUUCCGAAGGACUCGGAGUAACUGGAGACGUUAUACCGCUUCACACACAUCUUUAACAUGACACCAUAUAUAGUAGUACACGUUUCCAUUUGAUACGGCGUCCAUUAACGUUACGGCGUAUAGAGCAGAGCACAUUUUCGUGGGAACCGACUCGGGUUGUACUAUGGUAAACAGUAGAUGCCCACAACACGUUAGUUUGUGUCAGAAGAAGGAGUGCUAGAAGGGAGGGAGGUUCACCAACUAACUGUUUCGAUUAUUCGAAUACGUACUUCGACGGAGCCGAUGUAGGGGACUUCACCUUCGUUCUAGACAACCUGUCACGAAAAGACUUCUUCCUCGUACAACAUCAUCAAUAAAGUCACUACACAGUUAAACCUCGUUAUCUUUAUACAUAUACCUCUUAGAGUUAUGGUCUGUGACUUAUAGUUACCUCAACUACUCAACUAAUGUAGUGAACUAUAAGGUUCCCCACUAUGUCACCUGUACUUGAGUAUUUCCUUGCAAUCUUCCAUGGUGGCGCCCCGGUCCAUUUUGAUUUGACGCUGCCCCGCUGGCUGGUCCGCUGCCCUCUACGUCCUCGGCCUCACCACCGAUCCCUACUAGCCCCCAGGAAUAAACGCUCUACGAGAUUUAUGGGACGAUUCCUCCUGGGUAAGUAUCGGCCUUAAGAUCGAACAGCACUACGAUACUUUGAACGAUACCAUCUAGCAAUAGUGUACACUAGCACCUUAACCUGACAGUCAGGUAAACGUGGUAUACCUGUGAUCCUCUGCUGUACAGACAGCUUCCGGUUCAAACAUCUCUCUACGUGAGAAUAGAGAGCAGGAGACUCCCUAAACUAGAUCAGAAACACGCAGCCCUCCGGUUAAAACACCGAGUGGUUACA